CUAUCUAAAGUUAUAGCAACUGAACCAGGAAGACAGUUUUAUAGCUAGAAAUUUCUGUUACAGGCAUCCAAUUGUUAGAAAAGUUCCUGUGCAGAAACCAUGUGUGUGUUGUGGGCCUACAACCAUGGCAGCUAUUCAAAUAUUAAAGAGUGGGACAAAGCAGAAGCCUAGCAGUCUGAAGCAGAUAAAAAAUAAGGAUGGACAAUAUGUUGGAAAGACAUUUACAUAAGCAGUGAGCAGUAGUGAACAGCAAAAACCAGUCUGAAGAUUUAGUGAAUAACUGCUUAUUUCAAAGACUCAGCAAAUGUCAAGCAACAACAAAAAAAAGUACAUUCUAUCCAGCAACCUUGAACAUGGAUCUGUGAAGAAAUUCUGUGGGUCCUACUGGAGUCUUGUGAGACCAGUGAUGGAAGCUGAUCUUCCUUGCUAAUGGAAAUUGCGUUUUUGCCACACACUAUUUCUCUUCUGCAGAAUCUAAGGGGUCUUCCUGGCAUCCCAUAAUUCUGUGCACCAUCUUUAUGAUUCCCAUGCUUCAGGAGACACUGUAGUCUUUCAGCAACGGUAAGCUUUGCUCUCUCCUUGCAUUGCCACUAUGUUAUAUCAAUAAAAUGCCAU
This 615-nucleotide long non-coding RNA is filed under the name Zonotrichia albicollis (white-throated sparrow). RNAcentral describes it as "lncRNA (ENSZALG00000011714.1)". The record is from RNAcentral. Lineage: Eukaryota; Metazoa; Chordata; Aves; Passeriformes; Passerellidae.